UUCUUCCAAAGCAACUCUCUUAUUGCAUAAUUCAUCCCAGCAUCUCUCAAUUAGUAACAAAAAUAGUAAAUAAAUGUAACUAUGAAAGUUAAUUUUAAAAAAAAAAAGAAUAAUGAUAUAAAGAGAGCAACUAAUGAAGCAUCAUGGGAGAGAAUAAGGCAAACCCAUUUUGUAAAGUUAAAAUUAAAUUAAUGAAAAGCUAUGCUCCACUUAGCUUAAGUUGCAUGGAGUUGAUCCUUUUUCUAUUUUU
This 250-nucleotide long non-coding RNA is filed under the name Lathyrus oleraceus (garden pea). RNAcentral describes it as "Pisum sativum (pea) long non-coding RNA (PSAT_LNC018666)". The record is from RNAcentral. Lineage: Eukaryota; Viridiplantae; Streptophyta; Magnoliopsida; Fabales; Fabaceae.